GACGAACGCUGGCGGCGUGCUUAACACAUGCAAGUCGAACGGAAAGGCCCUGCUUUUGUGGGGUGCUCGAGUGGCGAACGGGUGAGUAACACGUGAGUAACCUGCCCUUGACUUUGGGAUAACUUCAGGAAACUGGGGCUAAUACCGGAUAGGAGCUCCUGCUGCAUGGUAGGGGUUGGAAAGUUUCGGCGGGUGGGGAUGGACUCGCGGCUUAUCAGCUUGUUGGUGGGGUAGGGGCUUACCAAGGCUUUGACGGGUAGCCGGCCUGAGAGGGUGACCGGGCACAUUGGGACUGAGAGACGGCCCAGAGUCCUACGGGAGGCAGCAGUGGGGAAUAUUGCACAAUGGGCGGAAGCCUGAUGCAGCAACGCCGCGUGCGGGAUGACGGCCUUCGGGUUGUAAACCGCUUUCGCCUGUGACGAAGCGUGAGUGACGGUAAUGGGUAAAGAAGCACCGGCUAACUACGUG
This 468-nucleotide ribosomal RNA is filed under the name uncultured bacterium. Its description in RNAcentral is "partial 16S ribosomal RNA". It matches the Rfam family "Bacterial small subunit ribosomal RNA", at positions 28 to 507 of the family's 1533-position model. The record is from RNAcentral.